This is a non-coding RNA of Triticum aestivum (bread wheat), 135 nucleotides long. Lineage: Eukaryota; Viridiplantae; Streptophyta; Magnoliopsida; Poales; Poaceae. The record is from Rfam.
CUACUACUCCAUCCAUCCCAAAAUUAUUGUCUUAGAUUUGUCUAAAUACAGAUGUAUCUAGUUACGUUUUAGUGUUAGAUACAUCCGUAUCUAGAAAAAUCUAAGACAAGAAUUUUGGGACGGAGGGAAUACCUU